RNAcentral lists this unclassified non-coding RNA (1186 nucleotides) under Diabrotica virgifera virgifera (western corn rootworm). RNAcentral's name for it is "uncharacterized LOC126886742". The record is from RNAcentral. Lineage: Eukaryota; Metazoa; Arthropoda; Insecta; Coleoptera; Chrysomelidae.
AAAAGUUAAAGGUAUGUACCAAAGCUCUAAAAGUAUUUCCAAAUUUCCCUCUUCUUUAUUUAGUAGAAAUUCCUAAAGAUAACCUUACUUUACAGACUUAUUUUUAAAUUUAAUAAAUUUGGGAAUUUUAUUUACAGAAAAACCGAAAUCACAAUCUAAAGAGGUGUUUUUUGGAUAAAAUGACACCUGAACAAAAAGUAAAAGCCGAUGAACUGCUUAGCCGGGCUAUCUAUUCAAGUCAAGCACCACUGGCUUUAGUAGAAAAUAUACAGUGGCAGAAGUUGUUUAAAUUUCUCAGACCUGCUUAUCAGAUACCAACCCGACACCUUGUAUCAGGCCCACUAUUAGACAGUGAGCACCUACGUGUAAAGGCUAUGGUUUCGGAAAACAUUGCUGGAGCACAUUCUGUUGGACUAAUGGUGGAUGGAUGGUCCAAUAUUAGGAACGAGGCUGUCCCAAACUUUGUUGUAACAACUCCAAAGCCAUUCCUUUUUAAAAUUAUGCCCACAGGCACUGCACCUCAUACUGCAGAAUAUAUGGCAAAAACCCUUGGUGCAGUAAUACGUGAAAUCGGUCCCCGAAAGGUAUUUGGUAUAGUCACAGACAAUGCAGCAAACAUGAAAGCUGCUUGGGCCUUGAUUGAAAAUGAAAAGGAAAAACAAAACGAAUUAAAAAUAAGUUGCAGUCUUAAACUCCCAGUGCCUACCAGAUGGGGAUCAUUAGUUCUUUGUCUACAAUCAUUGCUUGUUAACAAACAAAUAAUAAAAAGGAUGGCUAUCAAUGAAGAAGUUGAAAAGGCAGUAAGCAAACACCCAUCUUAAAAAAAAAUGCUCUAAGCGAUAUAUUUUGGGACCGGGUACAAGGAUACAUUAUGCUUCUGGAACCAAUUGCUAACACAAUUACCUCUGUAGAAGGUGACACACCAACGAUUUCAAAAUGUCUGCAUUUAUUUAAAAAAAUGGUUAACACCUCAUUAGAAAAUGUCAUAAAAGUCCAUUGUUAUCCAAAGAGGAAGCAGAUACAAGGGCAAUUUUUGAAAAUCGGAAGAAGUUUGCUAUUUAUAGUGUUCAUUUUGUAGCUAACCUUUUGGAUCCAAAAUAUCGUGGCUGCGAACUUAGCUCAGAUGAGAUGACUGAUGCGACAGAAGUCAUAUACAAGGUAGCACAGAAGAUGCCAGAUGUUGAUG